GGGCGGUUGGCACAGUUGGUUAGCGCGUCUGUUUUACACACAGAAGGUCACAGGUUCGAGCCCUGUACCGCCCA
This 74-nucleotide transfer RNA is filed under the name Anaerolineae bacterium. RNAcentral's name for it is "tRNA-Val". It matches the Rfam family "tRNA". Rfam says of the family: Transfer RNA (tRNA) molecules are approximately 80 nucleotides in length. The record is from RNAcentral. Lineage: Bacteria; Bacillati; Chloroflexota; Anaerolineae.